RNAcentral lists this ribosomal RNA (386 nucleotides) under uncultured bacterium. RNAcentral describes it as "partial 16S ribosomal RNA". It matches the Rfam family "Bacterial small subunit ribosomal RNA", at positions 355 to 753 of the family's 1533-position model. The record is from RNAcentral.
UGGGGAAUAUUGCACAAUGGGCGAAAGCCUGAUGCAGCGACGCCGCGUGCGGGAUGAAGGCCUUCGGGUUGUAAACCGCUUUUAAUUGGGAGCAAGCGAGAGUGAGUGUACCUUUUGAAUAAGCACCGGCUAACUACGUGCCAGCAGCCGCGGUAAUACGUAGGGUGCAAGCGUUAUCCGGAAUUAUUGGGCGUAAAGAGCUCGUAGGCGGUUUGUCACGCCUGGUGUGAAAGUCCAUCGCUUAACGGUGGAUCUGCGCCGGGUACGGGCAGGCUAGAGUGCAGUAGGGGAGAUUGGAAUUCCCGGUGUAACGGUGGAAUGUGUAGAUAUCGGGAAGAACACCAAUGGCGAAGGCAGAUCUCUGGGCUGUUACUGACGCUGAGGUA